This is a small nuclear RNA of Urocitellus parryii (Arctic ground squirrel), 107 nucleotides long. The record is from Ensembl. Lineage: Eukaryota; Metazoa; Chordata; Mammalia; Rodentia; Sciuridae.
AUUCUUCCUUUGGUAGCAUAUAUACUAAAACUGGAACAAUACAGAGAAGAUUAUCGUGGCCUCUGUGCAGUUAUGGCACACACAUUCAUGAAGCAUUGCAUAUUUUC